AAACAACCUUUGAUUCUCUGCAGCCUGCAUGAAAAACAUGGAACUUGACCCUCACAGCCCAAAGAAAUUGCCAAUGGAAGAAAAUUUGGGUGGGUGGGGCAGUAUGAAAGCAUGUGAAGUUAACCUACCUUCUCCUGCAAAAGCUGCUA
Long non-coding RNA from Pipistrellus kuhlii (Kuhl's pipistrelle), 149 nucleotides. RefSeq lists it as uncharacterized. The record is from RefSeq and is a predicted model, not a curated record. Lineage: Eukaryota; Metazoa; Chordata; Mammalia; Chiroptera; Vespertilionidae. The transcript has 3 exons.